This 387-nucleotide ribosomal RNA is filed under the name uncultured bacterium. Its description in RNAcentral is "bacterial SSU rRNA". It matches the Rfam family "Bacterial small subunit ribosomal RNA", at positions 30 to 418 of the family's 1533-position model. The record is from RNAcentral.
AUUGAACGCUGGCGGCAUGCCUUACACAUGCAAGUCGAACGGCAGCACGGGGCAACCUGGUGGCGAGUGGCGAACGGGUGAGUAAUGCAUCGGAACGUGCCAUUGAGUGGGGGAUAACGUAGCGAAAGUUGCGCUAAUACCGCAUAUUCUGUGAGCAGGAAAGCAGGGGGACCGCAAGGCCUUGCGCUCCUUGAGCGGCCGAUGUCAGAUUAGCUAGUUGGUGAGGUAACGGCUUACCAAGGCGACGAUCUGUAGCGGGUCUGAGAGGAUGAUCCGCCACACUGGAACUGAGACACGGUCCAGACUCCUACGGGAGGCAGCAGUGGGGAAUUUUGGACAAUGGGCGCAAGCCUGAUCCAGCCAUGCCGCGUGAGUGAAGAAGGCCUC